AGCAGCCGCGGUAAUUCCAGCUCCAAUAGCGUAUAUUAAAGUUGCUGCAGUUAAAAAGCUCGUAGUUGAAUUUCGGGGUUAGUAGGCUGGUCAUGCCUCCGGUAUGUACUGGUCUCACUGAUUCCUACUUCCUGACGAACCUUAAUGCCAUUAAUUUGGUGUUUCGGGAAAUUUGGACUGUUACUUUGAAAAAAUUAGAGUGUUUAAAGCAAGCUAACGCUUGAAUACAUUAGCAUGGAAUAAUGAAAUAGGACGUUCGAUCCUAUUUUGUUGGUUUCUUAGGAUUGACGUAAUGAUUAAUAGGGAUAGUUGGGGGCGAUUAGUAUUCAAUUGUCAGAGGUGAAAUUCUUGGAUUUAUUGAAGACUAACUACUGCGAAAGCAUUUGCCAAGGAUGUUUUCAUUAAUCAAGAACGAAAGUUAGGGGAUCGAAGACGAUCAGAUACCGUCGUAGUCUUAACCAUAAACUAUGCCGACUAGGGAUCGGAUGAUGUUAAUUUUUAAUGUACUCAUUCGGCGCCU
Molecule: ribosomal RNA, 520 nt
Filed under: uncultured Glomus
Lineage: Eukaryota; Fungi; Glomeromycota; Glomeromycetes; Glomerales; Glomeraceae
Description: SSU rRNA
Rfam family: Eukaryotic small subunit ribosomal RNA
Source: RNAcentral